RNAcentral lists this ribosomal RNA (492 nucleotides) under uncultured bacterium. RNAcentral's name for it is "partial 16S ribosomal RNA". It matches the Rfam family "Bacterial small subunit ribosomal RNA", at positions 29 to 507 of the family's 1533-position model. The record is from RNAcentral.
AGUGAACGCUGGCGGUAGGCCUAACACAUGCAAGUCGAACGGCAGCACAGUAAGAGCUUGCUCUUACGGGUGGCGAGUGGCGGACGGGAGAGGAAUACAUCGGAAUCUACUUUUUCGUAGGGGAUAACGUAGGGAAACUUACGCUAAUACCGCAUACGACCUACGGGUGAAAGCAGGGGAUCUUCGGACCUUGCGCGAUUGAAUGAGCCGAUGUCGGAUUAGCUAGUUGGCGGGGUAAAGGCCCACCAAGGCGACGAUCCGUAGCUGGUCUGAGAGGAUGAUCAGCCACACUGGAACUGAGACACGGUCCAGACUCCUACGGGAGGCAGCAGUGGGGAAUAUUGGACAAUGGGCGCAAGCCUGAUCCAGCCAUACCGCGUGGGUGAAGAAGGCCUUCGGGUUGUAAAGCCCUUUUGUUGGGAAAGAAAAGCAGCAGGUUAAUACCCCGCUGUUCUGACGGUACCCAAAGAAUAAGCACCGGCUAACUUCGUG